Molecule: small RNA, 18 nt
Filed under: Arabidopsis thaliana (thale cress)
Lineage: Eukaryota; Viridiplantae; Streptophyta; Magnoliopsida; Brassicales; Brassicaceae
Description: ATSL174680
Source: RNAcentral
GUUUUUCUUCUUUGUUGU